GAGGGCAUAGCUCAGUGGUAGAGUGCAUGGGUAGUAUACACGAGGUCCUUGGUUCAAUUCCCAGUACUUCCA
Molecule: transfer RNA, 72 nt
Filed under: Camelus bactrianus (Bactrian camel)
Lineage: Eukaryota; Metazoa; Chordata; Mammalia; Artiodactyla; Camelidae
Also listed under: 1 other name
Rfam family: tRNA
About the family: Transfer RNA (tRNA) molecules are approximately 80 nucleotides in length. Their secondary structure includes four short double-helical elements and three loops (D, anti-codon, and T loops).
Source: Rfam by way of RNAcentral